CACAUCACGUUGAAACGCUGGUUUCCGUACGACCAACGAAGUUAAGCAACGUCGUGUCUGGUGAGUACACUAGAUGGGUGACUGCUUAGGAGUACCAGGUGCUGUAAG
Molecule: non-coding RNA, 108 nt
Organism: Acanthosepion pharaonis
Lineage: Eukaryota; Metazoa; Mollusca; Cephalopoda; Sepiida; Sepiidae
Source: the annotation of a GenBank genome assembly